RNAcentral lists this ribosomal RNA (250 nucleotides) under Vibrio parahaemolyticus. RNAcentral's name for it is "partial 23S ribosomal RNA". It matches the Rfam family "Bacterial large subunit ribosomal RNA", at positions 2699 to 2925 of the family's 2925-position model. The record is from RNAcentral. Lineage: Bacteria; Pseudomonadati; Pseudomonadota; Gammaproteobacteria; Vibrionales; Vibrionaceae.
GGACGAACCUCUGGUGUUCGGGUUGUGUCGCCAGACGCAUUGCCCGGUAGCUAAGUUCGGAAUCGAUAACCGCUGAAAGCAUCUAAGCGGGAAGCGAGCCCUGAGAUGAGUCUUCCCUGAUACUUUAAGUAUCCUAAAGGGUUGUCGGAGACUACGACGUUGAUAGGUCAGGUGUGUAAGUGCUGUGAGGCAUUGAGCUAACUGAUACUAAUUGCCCGUGAGGCUUAACCAUACAACACCCAAGGGGUUU